GAUGAACGCUAGCUACAGGCUUAACACAUGCAAGUCGCGGGGCAGCAUGGGGGUUGCUUGCAAUCCCCGAUGGCGACCGGCGCACGGGUGAGUAACGCGUAUUCAACCUGCCCUUCACCACGGGAUAACCCGGCGAAAGUCGGACUAAUACCGUAUGUUGUCCAUUGACGGCAUCCGAUUUGGACGAAAGGCUUGGCGGUGAGGGAUGGGGAUGCGUCCGAUUAGCCAGACGGCGGGGUAACGGCCCACCGUGGCUACGAUCGGUAGGGGUUCUGAGAGGAAGGUCCCCCACACUGGAAGUGAGACACGGUCCAGACUCCUACGGGAGGCAGCAGUGAGGAAUAUUGGUCAAUGGGCGUAAGCCUGAACCAGCCAAGUAGCGUGCAGGAUGACGGCCCUAUGGGUUGUAAACUGCUUUUAUGCGGGGAUAAAGUGGCCCACGUGUGGGCUUUUGCAGGUACCGCAUGAAUAAGGACCGGCUAAUUCCGUG
This 490-nucleotide ribosomal RNA is filed under the name uncultured bacterium. RNAcentral describes it as "partial 16S ribosomal RNA". It matches the Rfam family "Bacterial small subunit ribosomal RNA", at positions 28 to 507 of the family's 1533-position model. The record is from RNAcentral.